AAGCCCCGCCCCUCGGAUGUGAUAGGACCGGCUGAAGAGGCGCCGCCCCCUCGAGCUCCCGCCUCUCUUUAAAGGGGUCGCACGGGAACAUGUGACUCAAAGAAGGAACGAAAAAGGACCGGAAAGACAGAUGAAGGUGGACGGAGGCUUGACGUGCUACUGGACGGUGAAAUGAAUCAUUAAACCGGAGAUGACACUGACCUGAACACGCUUCAUGCUUCCACAGGACGACACACAACUUUCCUGUAAAACAAAGAGGAAAACCUUUAUAACACAGACGAGACGGAGGGAAUCACGAAGAGUUACUAACAGAUCAUCUCUGGGACCCGUUGACGCUCCUCAUGUGCUCAGUGGUCAGUGUAGGUCCUGCCCACAUCAGCAGCUACAUCUGCCUACUGGGUCUCUGAUGCACGUCUGACACGAGGGACUAACAGCAUCAGCAAAUGACCGUCGGAUGUGGUUUUGAACCUGGCACACAGUGUAGAGAUCUGUGCUUGUCAAAUUACAGCUACAUUGUCUGCUGGGUUUCACAGCCACGUCAUGAUCACAGAGGUGCAUUCAACAGGAAGUUCACUUCCAAACUUACUGUGGAUGAUAUUUCAAAGAUAAACAUCUUUAAUCUCCUCUCAAAGCCCACCUGAUGUCAUCUUUUCAUUAAUCAAUCCCACGUCGGGUCUGGCUCAGUGUAUAUUGCCGUUUUCAUGUGGUGUAAAUUACUGUAAUAAUAUCAUGCUUUGAAUAAAACGUUCAGAUGU
Xyrauchen texanus (razorback sucker) is the source of this 755-nucleotide long non-coding RNA. RefSeq lists it as uncharacterized. NCBI's taxonomy places the organism in Eukaryota, Metazoa, Chordata, Actinopteri, Cypriniformes, Catostomidae. The record is from RefSeq and is a predicted model, not a curated record. The transcript has 3 exons.